This 1065-nucleotide small RNA is filed under the name Pongo abelii (Sumatran orangutan). Its description in RNAcentral is "processed transcript". Lineage: Eukaryota; Metazoa; Chordata; Mammalia; Primates; Hominidae. The record is from RNAcentral.
GAUAUAGAACCACAGUUGGUAUCAUGUAUGCCUCACAUGAGAAGGAGGUAUCUAGCACUUCUCGACCGGGGCCUAAAGCUUUAUGUUAAAAGCAAAAUUUUAUAGUGGAACUGUGAAGACUUGAGUAUUUUACAAAAAGGUUUUGAAAGAUCAUAUACUCUUUUUUCAAGGACUUCAUUGGAGAGGUUUUUGUCACUCUUGGAGUUAGAAUCAAAGAAACCUAAGGAACUUUGCUUUAUGCAUGUCUGGGCAAGUAGUGUGACUUGCAAGAAAUUUCCGAGAUUCACCUCAUUGCUGAUCAUGAAAUCCACUCUUUCGUUACGAGGUGUUCACUUCUGUUUUCACUUGCCAGGGACAGCCAAGAUAGAAACAGCUGUGACUUCGACCCCAUCUGCUUCUGGGCAGUUCAGCAAGCCUUUCUCAUUUUCUCCAUCAGGGGGCAACACCCUCCACUAAAGAGUCAAGCCAGCUGGAUGCAUUCUCAUUUGGUGGGGGAAGCAAACCUUCUUAUGAGGCCAUUCCUGAAAGCUCACCUCCCUCAGGAAUCACAUCCGCAUCAAACACCACCCCAGGAGAACCUGCCACAUCUAGCAGCAGACCUGUGGCACCUUCUGGAACUGCUCUUUCCACUACCUCUAGUAAGCUGGAAACCCCACCGUCCAAGCUGGGAGAGCUUCUGUUUCCAAGUUCUUUGGCUGGAGAGACUCUGGGAAGUUUUUCAGGACUGCGUGUUGGCCAAGCAGAUGAUUCUACAAAGCCAACCAAUAAGGCUUCAUCCACAAGCCUAACUAGUACCCAGCCAACCAAGACGUCAGGCGUGCCCUCAGGGUUUAAUUUUACUGCCCCCCCAGUGUUAGGGAAGCAAACGGAGCCCCCUGUGACCUCCUCUGCAACCACCACCUCAGUAGCACCACCAGCAGCCACCAGCACUUCCUCAACUGGCGUUUUUGGCAGUCUGCCGGUCACCAGUGCAGGAUCCUCUGGGGUCAUCAGUUUUGGUGGGACAUCUCUAAGUGGUGGCAAGACUAGUUUUUCAUUUGGAAGCCAACAGACCAAUAGCACAGU